CCUACGGGAGGCUGCAGUGAGGAAUAUUGGUCAAUGGACGAGAGUCUGAACCAGCCAAGUAGCGUGAAGGAUGACUGCCCUAUGGGUUGUAAACUUCUUUUAUAAAGGAAUAAAACGAGGCACGUGUGCCUUUUUGCAUGUACUUUAUGAAUAAGGAUCGGCUAACUCCGUGCCAGCAGCCGCGGUAAUACGGAGGAUCCGAGCGUUAUCCGGAUUUAUUGGGUUUAAAGGGAGCGUAGAUGGGUUGUUAAGUCAGUUGUGAAAGUUUGCGGCUUAACCGUAAAAUUGCAAUUGAUACUGGCAGUCUUGAGUACAGUUGAGGUAGGCGGAAUUCGUGGUGUAGCGGUGAAAUGCUUAGAUAUCACGAAGAACCCCGAUUGGGAAGGCAGCUUACUAAACUGUGACUGACAUUGAUGCUCGAAAGUGUGGGGAUCAAACAGGAUUAGAUACCCCUGUAGUC
This 460-nucleotide ribosomal RNA is filed under the name uncultured bacterium. RNAcentral describes it as "partial 16S ribosomal RNA". It matches the Rfam family "Bacterial small subunit ribosomal RNA", at positions 338 to 795 of the family's 1533-position model. The record is from RNAcentral.